This 1185-nucleotide long non-coding RNA is filed under the name Nothobranchius furzeri (turquoise killifish). Its description in RNAcentral is "lncRNA (ENSNFUG00015022845.1)". The record is from RNAcentral. Lineage: Eukaryota; Metazoa; Chordata; Actinopteri; Cyprinodontiformes; Nothobranchiidae.
AUGUUCAUAACCUUUAUGGACAGGAUUUCUAGGCACAGCCAAGUUGUGGAGGGCAUCCGUUUUGGUGGCCUGAGGAUCAGGUCUCUGAUUUUUGCAGAUGAUGUGGUCCUGUUGGCUUCAUCAGAACGUGAUCUCCAGAUUUCGCUGGAGCGGUUCGCAGCCGAGUGUGAAGCAGUUGGGAUGAGAAUCAGCUCCUCUACAUCUGAGACCAUGGUCUUGAUUCAGAAAAGGGUAGAAUGCCUUCUCCGGGUCAGGGACGAGGUCCUGCCCCAAGUGGAGGAGUUUAAGUAUCUCGGGGUCUUGUUCACGAGUGAGGGAAAACUGGAGUGUGAUAGCGAUAGGCUGAUUGGUGCUGCAUCUGCAGUGAUGUGGGCAUUGUACCGGUCUGUCAUGGUGAAGAGAGAGUUGAGUCAGAAUGUGAAGCUCUUGAUUUACCGGUUACUCUACGUUCCUACCCUCACCUAUGGUCAUGAGCUUUGGGUAGUGACCGAGAGAACGAGAUUGCGGAUACAAGCGGCCGAAAUGAGUUUUCUCCAAAGAGUGGCUGGGCUCUCCCUUAGAGAUAGGGUGAGAAGCUCAGUCAUUCGGGAGGGGCUCGAAGUAGACCCGCUGCUCCUCCACAUCGAGAGGAGCCAGUUGAGGUGGCUUGGGGGCAUCUGGUCAGGAUGCCUCCUGGAUGCCUCCCUGUUGAGGUUUUCCAGGCAUGUCCAACUGGGAGGAGACCUAAAGGUAGACCCAGGACACGGUGGAGGGACUAUGUCUCUCACCUGGCAUGGGAACGCCUUGGGAUUCCCCCAGAGGAGCUGGCCCAAGUGGCUGGGGAGAGGGAAGUCUGGGCCUCUCGCCUUAUGCUACUGCCCCCGCGACCCGACUCCGGAUAAGCGGAUGAUUAUGGAUGGAUGGAUGGAUAGAUGUCUUUGCCAGGUGAAUAAAUGUUUUUGCCACUUGGGGAAAAUUUGUUUUGGGGGAAGUGAGUUUCAAUGUGACAAUCAAUGUAAUAAACAGAUUUUUUUUUACCAUGCAGGCCACCCAGAACUUGAUCCCAAAUUUGUCCGGCUUUGUUGCAACAUACUGGGUGAAUGGACAACGAACUUUUGUAGGGAGCAGCAGUUCAUCAGUGGUCAUGUGUCGUCCUGGAGUGAAACUGUCAGCACAGUUCUUGAUGAAGCAUUUCCAGAUGUCUGA